CCACGCCAUCCACUCCCUGCAUGUAGGGAGUUAGGCUACGUGCCGCUGUGUAUAUGUAACAGACUGCUCAAUGGAAUAGAUCACAGACUCAUUCCGCCAUUCUUCUCCCUGUCUGUGCGCCGCCGCUCUCUCGUCUCGCCCCUCCCUCUCAGGUGCGCCGCCGCUCUCUCGUCUCGCCCCUCCCUCUCCGGUGCGCCGCUAUUCCCUCGUCGCCCCUUCCUCUCCGCACAAAAAGGGAAGAAAAUUGGGGUGCUAGGAAGAAGAGGAGCACGUGCGGACGGCGAGCAGCUGCGUGGCUGCUGUUGCAGCUGGGUUACAACACCGAUGGAUGAAAUGCUGCUGAGACGUUACAAGAUAUUCCAGCAGAGGCAUCCUUACCGUCCGCAUUACAAGGAUAUGAGAACAUUGGGGUCCUGAAGGCAGUGACCUGUUUACCAUACAUGUAUUUACUUCCUUUCUAGGGCGGAACAAUGGAAGGCACAAUUCCAAGUACAGCUCUUCAAGAACAGUUCUCUGAAGGAACAACAAUUUACAAGCUUGGCGCUUACCAGGUUCAAUAUGCUAGGGAAAGAUACAAAACUGUAGAUCGUCCAUGGAGAGUAGUGUUUGCCCAAAAAACUACCGUGGAACCAAUUGUGCCUCAGCCACCAAACUUUCCCAAUUAUGGAUAUACCACCUACAAUGUACACAGUAUCAAAGCCGCAUUAAACAAAUCAUUUUGUUGUCAGUAUCACAAGAACAUUUGCGCCGAGUGGCGGAUCGAUUGACCAGAUAUGAGAAAAUCACAUCACAAACAAUGCCCGCCAUUGUGACGUUUUGGGGAAAAUUAGCAGAUUCCCUUGAUGCAGACAAGCUACAACGGUGGUCUGCUCAAGAACCCAUUAUAGUUCUAUUUGUUGGCAUGCCAGUACAUGAAUUUAAUGAAACUUGGCCUUCAAGUCCUGUCUGCCAUAUUGCGAUGGAACGGCAGUAUAAUAUACAAAACUUUGACGAGGCUCAUCUGCUUCAAAAUUUCACAAUAAGUCCAAUCAAGACAAUUUGCAACUUUGGUGUUGUCACAUUGGAGUCCGUGCUGAGCAGCAAUGGGAGACUGUCGUUGAUGCCCAACCAAUGAUGCCGACGAAGGAACGAGAGUCGACGAGGAGUAGACGCCAUCGGUUCUUGAACCGCCAAGCCACUGUUGUCCGUUUGGUAAUGUCCGACGUAUCAGUGGCAUAGUAUGACUUGCCCCGAUUUUGACGUCGUCUACCAACAUCCGACGAAGGGAACCCGUCCCGGUUUCCAUCUUGAUGGUAAGUUCUCUAAUCUUCUAUCUCAUGGGAUGUGAUGUGGUUGCCUUCAUUUUGGCUUUUGACAAAGGGUUGAAAUUAGCUUAUGUGCUUCCGACGAUUGAAAUUCCAGUUAUAUUAUCAACCUUCAGCGAGCAGUGACAACGAACUCCAUCCCCCCACCACACCACACCCAUGUUUCAUAUGAUGUGCUUUAAGCCAUGUUUCAGCUUGUCUCGACCCAAGCAUGUAUUUUUUGUUUCAGUUGUUGAGAUCUGCACUACAAAACUGAGAAAGGCCCAUAACUUUUUACAGGUCAGCCAUGUUUACUAAAAUAUAUAAUUUCUAAAACAUUUCCAGCAAUAUGCGAGUUGUUUGCUUGCUCAACCUUACGCUAGGAUCAUUUCUACACACUAAAUAGAGGGAAGUUGGCUUGUGCCUUACUAGAGACAGAUGAACCAACAAAAUGAUUGGAAAGGCUCUUUCCAAGCAUAAGAGGAGCUUUUCAAGGAACCUAAGAACCGGAACCUCCCCUCCCCCUCCUGUGACGCUCCCGCGGGCGUCCAGGGGGCAACCCUAGCACCGCCGCCGGUCCCCCCUCCUGCUCUCCCUCCUCCCUCGCCGCCGCCCGGGGGCGCGAGCGGGCGAAGCCCGCUCGUCGCUGGCGGCAGCGGGGCCUUCUCGUCUCUGCGCGUGGGUGUUUCGGCGCGUGUGCCGUUGCCCGGCCAGGCCCUUGCGGCAGGUCGACGUCGCACGUCGCUGGAGACUCCCCUGGUGGCCAUACAUGGAUGCGGCAGAGGGCUCUGCUUCCUCAUUAGAUUAAAUUUUGGUGUUGCAUUGUUGAGCACUUCAUGUGAAUGUUCUCUAGUCUCUAUUGUGCAGGGGGUUCUACUCUCCCUCUUGAGGCAAGUGUGGAUGUAAUGGAUAUUGAUUGUGGUUGUUUGGACAAAAAUAUUGCGUGCAAACAUUAUUGAGUACUGAUGGAGCAGAGUAGUUGUGGAGCGGGUCGUGGGAGAGACGGUUGGUUAGCAUGGGCUGGACGGGAAGGUGAUGCUUGCGAUGGCGACCAAGCCGGCGGGCAAGGCAGGGGCGACCAUGGCCAUCGGGGUGUUUUCAAGGGAGAGCGAGGCAACCGCCAUCACGCAACUGAAGAAGUUGAAACCCGGGGCGAAGUUGGUCAUCAUGGCCAGCAUGAAAGUUGACAAACCUAAAUGCCGGUGAUAGGUUCGCUGCUGUCGCGCCGUCUUUAAACUUGGUGGAGACGCAGAAGCAGUGGCAGAGCUAGGAUCAAGCCACGACCCGGGCAAGCCCCAGGCCAAUCACUUGGUACAAUGCUAAACAGUGUAAAAUCCGCUACAGUAAACAAGCCUGAGGACCUAGGCCGCCGCCUGGGCAGCUUGGGGCUUGUCUCCGCCACUGCGCAGAAGGAGAGCGGUGGCGCUGUGAAGACCUCGAUGACUGCUGCCAUGACCACGACCAUGACGAUUGUGUUGGUAAUAAAGAUACUAAUUGUAUACAAAUCCCCCAGCUUCGAAAACAUUAGAUUAUCCAACUUAUUAUUCAAAUUUUUGAUUCAAGAUAAAUGGAAAUUUCCUAUAUACAAUGAGCUUAUUAUUGAAGGUUGCA
Molecule: RNA transcript, 2894 nt
Organism: Triticum aestivum (bread wheat)
Lineage: Eukaryota; Viridiplantae; Streptophyta; Magnoliopsida; Poales; Poaceae
Exons: 9
Source: RefSeq, a predicted model, not a curated record